CCUGCCUACAUUGUGAUAGGGAUAUGUUUUAAAAUAAUAACUCCUUCUCUUUUAAAUUCUCUUUUUCAUUAGAUUAUUUUCGAAUAUUGAAAGAAACUGAAGUUUUUCUUAUAAUUCCAGACCUCUAGCUUUUAAGCAAAAAUGAAUAACUAAAUAACAAGCGAUCCUAAACAUAUGUAGUAAUCCCCAUCAAAAUGGCGACAUAAUUCUCCGAAGUUGAUGAGUGGAGCAAGCAAGAGGUGUAAACCCCUGGUUUACCAUAUUUAUCUUAAAGACAAUUUGAACUUUGGAGUCUAUAUGAACUGUCGAUUGACAAACCACUGGGGACAAACUCGCGACAUUCUUCUCACAAGACUUCAUGAAUAACGUGUGCGUGGGAGACCGGGUGACCUGUCACCGGGUCGUGG
Argiope bruennichi is the source of this 407-nucleotide long non-coding RNA. RefSeq lists it as uncharacterized. The record is from RefSeq and is a predicted model, not a curated record. Lineage: Eukaryota; Metazoa; Arthropoda; Arachnida; Araneae; Araneidae. The transcript has 3 exons.